UACGUAGGGGGCAAGCGUUAUCCGGAUUUACUGGGUGUAAAGGGAGCGUAGACGGCGCUGCAAGUCCGGAGUGAAAGCCCAUGGCUUAACCAUGGUACUGCUCUGGAAACUGUGGAGCUUGAGUGCGGGAGGGGCAGGCGGAAUUCCUAGUGUAGCGGUGAAAUGCGUAGAUAUUAGGAGGAACACCAGUGGCGAAGGCGGCCUGCUGGGCUUUAACUGACGCUGAGGCUCGAAAGCGUGGGGAGCAAACAGG
Molecule: ribosomal RNA, 253 nt
Filed under: uncultured bacterium
Lineage: Bacteria
Description: partial 16S ribosomal RNA
Rfam family: Bacterial small subunit ribosomal RNA
Source: RNAcentral